Punica granatum (pomegranate) is the source of this 840-nucleotide non-coding RNA. The record is from RefSeq and is a predicted model, not a curated record. Lineage: Eukaryota; Viridiplantae; Streptophyta; Magnoliopsida; Myrtales; Lythraceae.
UUCAGUUGAGCUUUUUCACCCAACCAAACUGUCCAGUGAUAGGAAAUGGAGCUUACAAGUCCUCAAUCUUAACACCAAGGGAUGUUCUGUCCCCAUUUCUUAAUUUCGAAUGAUGCUUCUGUCUUUCUGUCAUCAUCCUCUAACAGAGGGCAUCUUUGUGUCCGAAAAAGGAAGCCAUAUAUUUGGACCCACCAGCGAAAGACAAUUAAGCUCCCAAAGAACUUUCCACAAGGGUCUGUGCUGGUUGGAGCGAUCUCAUAUGGAGAACUAUCAUCCGUGCCAACUCUGUGGCAGAACGUUUAGAAGAGGAGGAAAUCAUAUUCUAGAGAACAACGCCGCAAUACUACGAUGAGUACUUUAAAGCUUUAUCUUUUUCAUCUCGAUUAAUGUCUCGUUUUAGGCAUUGAAACAACAUGAUCCGAGAAGAUGCUGUUCCAACCAAGAAGAAGCUCUAUGAACUAAAGCACUCUUUGCUCGAAGAGAUUGGGUGGGGACACCUGGUAUCAUAGGAGCGGACACGAAUGCACGUUCGGUUCCUGCCAAGCUUGCCAUUGUUUUAGGAUAAAGUCCUUGAGGAUGAUUCGCUUCAAGUAAUAAAAUGUCCAUUCAUCUCUCUCUCUCUCUCUCGAAACCUAAUAUGGUAUCAGAGUCUAGGGAUCACGCUCCAUCACCUUUUCUUCUUGUUGGCUGAGUGAUUCGGCCAAAUCACUACAUCGAUCAUGUCAAGGCUCUGAUACCAUCUAAAGACAAUACUUAUGCAAGGAAUUGUUUAUAUUCACUCUUAUUGAAUCAAUGUACAAGGCUGAUGGUUAUAUAAGAGAGCAACAGAGAAAAAGGAAA